RNAcentral lists this long non-coding RNA (450 nucleotides) under Sinocyclocheilus grahami. RNAcentral's name for it is "lncRNA (ENSSGRG00000046822.1)". Lineage: Eukaryota; Metazoa; Chordata; Actinopteri; Cypriniformes; Cyprinidae. The record is from RNAcentral.
UUCUCUAAUCUGACUGGUGUUUGUCUGUCCUCAGCUGAAGGCUGUGUAUGAGAAGAUGGAGCUCCAGCAGAGGGCGAUGGUGAGUCCCGGGGGGAGUGUGGCGUCCAGUCGCUCCAGCCCUGACCCCUCUGAACCUGAGCUCAGUGUCCUGCAGCCCUACCUGGCCAGUGAGAUCGAGGUCACCCACUCUGCCCUCAAAUCAACCACUCCUCUAUCGGUGCGAAGCAGCAGUGACCCCGCCCUCGCCCCACCCCUGGAUGUCAUUUCAUUGGACCCUGAGGACAUGAGCAGACCCCAGUCCACUGGUGUCGGUCAUGCAACCUCUGUGAAGGGAGGAGCCAUGGACAAACCCAAGGUGGACGUCCCAAACUCCAGGACUGCACAAGUCGACUUAAGGUGAGGGAGUUCGUGUAUGCUUAGUGUAUGAUUAUGUAUAAACACUCAAAAUGG